Long non-coding RNA from Daucus carota subsp. sativus, 1175 nucleotides. RefSeq lists it as uncharacterized. The transcript is spliced from 3 exons. The record is from RefSeq and is a predicted model, not a curated record. Lineage: Eukaryota; Viridiplantae; Streptophyta; Magnoliopsida; Apiales; Apiaceae.
AUAUCAAAUAAUCAGAUUAUACUUAAAAUAAUAAAAUUUGAAACUAAUUAAUUAUUUCUAAGCAAUUACAAUGCAACUGAAUUACAUUUUUAAAAAUAUCAAAUACAUAAUAAAUUUAUAUUUUUAAAUAAUUAAUAAAUUCAAAGUAAACUGAAAUAUUAAUAUAAAAUAUAAAAAAUAAAUAAAUUUGGGUGUUCCCGCUGCUGAAAAAGCGAGCGGCAAACUUUCCCCCCCCCCCUGUUUCAUUUCGAGAGACAAAAACAAACAAAACAAUUAAUCGGGGCUUUCAGACACAAUACACACUCACUCCGCUCACACAAACAAAACUCACUCACCUCCGCUCAAACUCACCCCUCUCCGCUGCUCAAAUCCACCUCUCCGCUCAGAUACACCGUCUCCGCCGCUCACACUCACCUGUAAUUAGGGCUUCGAUUAAAUUGGGGUUUUACUGGAACUAGGGCUAGCUUCGAUUUGCAGCUUCGAUUUGCUUGGAUUUAAGGACGAUAUCGAAAAACAAAUCAAAAUAUCAGGAGAUGGCACUGAUGAGCUACUACUUUCUGGUGGCAAGAAGCAUGGGAAGACUUGGCUUUACGGGAGGUGUCCAAAUGCAGCCAAAGUCCUUCGCAGUACAAGUUCAGGGAAUAGUUACGUGGAAGACCUGGCAUGUAAGAUCAAGGAAAGUCUGGCCGAAGAUGUCAAGGAAUCAGUGAGCAAGCAAGUCCAAGAAGAAGUGGAUGCUCAAGUAAACAAGAAGGUCCAACAAAACUUGACCUUGGCGCUUAAAAAAAUUGCGGAGGCAAACCCAGGCAUCAAAAUUAAUAUGGAGGAUUUUUGUCCAACAGCUUCGAGUGAUGAUGAAAAUGGUACGCCUAUAACUGGCGGUGCUAGCUGCUAGGUUCUCCAUGUUGUCUCCAUCUCCAGUAGUAAUAGUAUUAACCUAUUUCCUGCUUUUGGGUAUAUUUUGGUCAUCAACUAGUUGGUAAAUUAAAGAUUUGGUAAUUUCUUUUGUUUUAGUUUGGUGAAUUGUGAAUUGUGCUUUUGGUUGGAGUUGGUGAAUUGUGGAUUUGGUUGGAGUUGGUAGCUGCUUGGAUUUGGUUGAACUUGUGUAGCUAUUUUGGUUUGUAGAUGUUGAAUUGGUUGGAUUUAUUGGGAAUUUUAAUAUUUUAAACAGUAUA